This 372-nucleotide ribosomal RNA is filed under the name uncultured organism. Its description in RNAcentral is "partial 16S ribosomal RNA". It matches the Rfam family "Bacterial small subunit ribosomal RNA", at positions 527 to 896 of the family's 1533-position model. The record is from RNAcentral.
GUAGGUGGCAAGCGUUGUCCGGAAUUAUUGGGCGUAAAGCGCGCGCAGGCGGUUCUUUAAGUCUGAUGUGAAAGCCCACGGGCUCAACCGUGGAGGGUCAUUGGAAACUGGAGAACUUGAGUACAGAAGAGGAAAGCGGAAUUCCACGUGUAGCGGUGAAAUGCGUAGAGAUGUGGAGGAACACCAGUGGCGAAGGCGGCUUUCUGGUCUGUAACUGACGCUGAGGAGCGAAAGCGUGGGGAGCAAACAGGAUUAGAUACCCUGGUAGUCCACGCCGUAAACGAUGAGUGCUAAGUGUUAGGGGGUUUCCGCCCCUUAGUGCUGCAGCUAACGCAUUAAGCACUCCGCCUGGGGAGUACGGCCGCAAGGCUG